UAGGGAAUCUUCCGCAAUGGGCGAAAGCCUGACGGAGCAACGCCGCGUGAGUGAUGAAGGUCUUUGGAUCGUAAAACUCUGUUAUUAGGGAAGAACAAAUGUGUAAGUAACUAUGCACGUCUUGACGGUACCUAAUCAGAAAGCCACGGCUAACUACGUGCCAGCAGCCGCGGUAAUACGUAGGUGGCAAGCGUUAUCCGGAAUUAUUGGGCGUAAAGCGCGCGUAGGCGGUUUUUUAAGUCUGAUGUGAAAGCCCACGGCUCAACCGUGGAGGGUCAUUGGAAACUGGAAAACUUGAGUGCAGAAGAGGAAAGUGGAAUUCCGUGUGUAGCGGUGAAAUGCGCAGAGAUAUGGAGGAUCACCAGUGGCGAAGGCGACUUUCUGGUCUGUAACUGACGCUGAUGUGCGAAAGCGUGGGGAUCAAACAGG
RNAcentral lists this ribosomal RNA (429 nucleotides) under Actinomycetes bacterium. RNAcentral's name for it is "Actinobacteria bacterium partial 16S ribosomal RNA". It matches the Rfam family "Bacterial small subunit ribosomal RNA", at positions 355 to 776 of the family's 1533-position model. Lineage: Bacteria; Bacillati; Actinomycetota; Actinomycetes. The record is from RNAcentral.